RNAcentral lists this ribosomal RNA (420 nucleotides) under uncultured bacterium. RNAcentral describes it as "bacterial SSU rRNA". It matches the Rfam family "Bacterial small subunit ribosomal RNA", at positions 29 to 497 of the family's 1533-position model. The record is from RNAcentral.
AAUGAACGCUGGCGGCAUGCCUAACACAUGCAAGUCGAACGAAGCCUUCGGGCUUAGUGGCGCACGGGUGCGUAACGCGUGGGAAUCUGCCCUUGGGUUCGGAAUAACAGCGAGAAAUUGCUGCUAAUACCGGAUGAUGACGUAAGUCCAAAGAUUUAUCGCCCAAGGAUGAGCCCGCGUAGGAUUAGCUAGUUGGUGAGGUAAAGGCUCACCAAGGCGACGAUCCUAGCUGGUCUGAGAGGAUGAUCAGCCACACUGGGACUGAGACACGGCCCAGACUCCUACGGGAGGCAGCAGUGGGGAAUAUUGGACAAUGGGCGCAAGCCUGAUCCAGCCAUGCCGCGUGAGUGAUGAAGGCCCUAGGGUUGUAAAGCUCUUUGUGCGGAAGAUAAUGACGGUACCGCAAGAAUAAGCCCCGGC